Molecule: ribosomal RNA, 482 nt
Filed under: uncultured bacterium
Lineage: Bacteria
Description: partial 16S ribosomal RNA
Rfam family: Bacterial small subunit ribosomal RNA
Source: RNAcentral
GACGAACGCUGGCGGCGUGCUUAACACAUGCAAGUCGAACGAUGAAGAAGAGAUACACGAACUUCGGUUCAAAUUUCACUUCGGAUUUGUGGCAGACGGUGGAGUAACGCGUGAGCAACCUACCUCUUACAAAGGGAUAUCCCCGGGAAACCGUGAUUAAUACCAUAUGACACAUUCAUAAGGCAUCUUAAGAAUGUUAAAGGUACGGCGGUAAGGGAUGGGCUCGCGUCCCAUUAGCUAGUUGGUGAGGUAACGGCCCACCAAGGCGCCAAUGGGUAAACGGCCUGUGAGGCAGAGCGGUGACAUUGGAACUGAGCCACAGUCCAAACUCCUACGCGAGGGAGCCGUGGGGAAUACUGCCCUGUGGAGGGAAGGCUGAUGGAGCGAGGCCGCGUGAGCGAUGUAGGAAUGGAUUUCGUAAACCUCUCUUAUAUGGGAAGAAGAGGACUGUACCAGAGGAGAAAGCCCCGGCUAACUACGUG